GGGAAAACGAAGGAAAAGGAAAAGGAGCGAAAGCAAAGGGAAAGGGAAAAGGAAGGAAAGGGAAAAGGAGGGAAAGGGAAAAGGAGGAAAGGGAAGGGAAAGGGAAAAUGAAGGGAGGGAAAAGAACGGAAAGGGAAAAGGAGGAAAAGCGAAGGGAAAGGGAAAAGGAGGAAAAAGGAAGGAAAGGGAAGGGAAAGGAAGGGAGGAGAAAGGAAAGAGAAAAGGAAAAAGGAGGGAAAAGGAAGGGAGAAGGAAAAGGAAGGAAAGGGAAAGGGAAAAGGAGGGAAAAGGAAAGGAGGAAAGGGGGAAAGACAGAAAAGAAAAGAGCAACCAGGGAUGUUCUGUUUGACAGGAGACGGGAUGUCAUUUUGAGAUCUUAAAGGGGAAGACAAAAAGGCUGAGCACUGUUCCGCGUAGAUCCAUUGUUUUUUUUUUAAACAAAGACUUAUUUGGGAAUUUUGGCCCCAAAGUGGCAGUUGGCUGUGAGUGAACCCAAAGCCUGGUCAAAGGAGACCUCAUUACGAACGAUAUUUGCGCUUACCAUUCCUUUGAAUUUGGCAAGACGAUGAAAGCAUCGCCUUCCCAACUCUUUGGUAAACCUUAGUCCAACUCGGCCAAAAAUUUUGAUAGCUUCCUGUUUGGCCAAGAAAGGAUUCCAAAAUCUCCCAAUUUCAACACUCAACCUAUAGAAGGGACCAGGAGAAACAGUGCCGGUUGUGUUUGAAACGGAAGGAGGAAACCAACCGAAAAGGAGAGGAAGGCAUGCAAACAAGUCAGAGGUUUCCAAAAGGGAGAGAAGGAAUGGGGAAGGGAUGAAGUUCCUGGGAAGAGAGAGAAGGAACGAGGAAAAGGAGAGAAGGAAAUGCUCAGAGGGCCGUUUUCAAAGGGCAAACCAAAGGCAGGGAGGGAUGUGAUGCAAACAAAAAGAUUGAGGGUGGAGACAAGGGAAGAGAUGGCGGAAAGAGGGGAAGGAAGGAAAGAAAGAACAGGUGGAAUACAACUGGGUAAAUCAUAGUUCAAACUGGGACAGUUAUGUGAAUCGGAGUCUGAAGGGAGCUCCAGUGGGAUUGAUAAGCUUGGAGAUGAUAAUGGACCCUCUCUAGGAAUAUCUAGGUCUUCCAGUGAGACUCUAUGGUCAACAUUGAAAGUUUUUGGGGAAGAAUGGCGAUGUUUGAGAAUUAGAAGGGGCUACAGGGUCUAGGGAUGGUGGGCUAUGACCAUUCCAGCUUGAGAAGAACCAUCCAAGGUGGUGGGUCUAUUGGAGCAACCCUUGGAGAAGAACCAUCCAAGGUGGUGGGUCUAUUGGAGGAACCCUUGGAGAGAGCAUCUAAAGCCUCUACUACAGUAGAAAGGGGAACCACCCAAACUUGAGAAGAACCAUCCAAGGUGCUGGGUCUAUUGGAGGAACCCUUGGAGAAGAACCAUCCAAGGUGUUGGGUCUAUUGGAGAAUCCCUUGGAGAGCUCCUCUAAAGCCUCUACUCAAACCUACAGUGGAAAUGUGAACCACCCAAACUUGGGAAGAACCAUCCAAGGUGCUGGGUCUAUUGGAGGAACCCUUGGAGAGCACCUCUAAAGCUUAUACUCAAACCUACAGUGGAUUCGCUGUCUCAUUCAAAUGGGAACCACCCCAGCUUGAGAAGAACCAUCCAAGGUGCUUGGUCUAUUGGAUAACUCCUUAGAGAGCAUUUCUAAAGCCUCUACUCAAACCUACAGUGGAUUUGAUGUCUCAUUCAAAUGGGAACCACCCCAGCUUGAGAAGAACCAUCCAAGGAGCUGGGUCUAUUGGAUAACUCCUUGGAGAGCGCCUCUAAAGCCUCUACUCAAACCUACAGUGGAUUUGAUGUCUCAUUCAAAUGGGAACCACCCCAGCUUGGGAAGAACCAUCCAAGGAGCUGGGUCUAUUGGAGAACCCCUUGGAGAGCACCUCUAAAGCCUCUACUCCAGUGGUUCUCAACCUGGAGUCUCCAGAUGUUUUUGGCCUUCAACUCCCAGAAAUCCUAACAGCUCAUAAACUGGCUGGGAUUUCUGGGAGUUGUAGGCAAAAAACAUCUGGGGACCACAGGUUGAGAACCACUGCUCUACUCAAACCUACAGUGGGUUCGCUGUCUCAUGCAAAUGGGAACCUCCCCAGCUUGAGAAGAACCAUCCAAGGUGCCGGAUCUAUUGGAGAACCCCUUGGAGAGCGCCUCUAAAGCCUCUACUCAAACCUACAGUGGAACCACCCCAGCUUCAGAAGAACCAUCCAAGGGGCUGGGUCUAUUGGAGAACUCCUUGGAGAGCAUUUCUAAAGCAUCUACUCAAACUUACAGUGGAACCACCCCAGCUUCAGAAGAACCAUCCAAGGUGCCGGAUCUAUUGGAGAACCCCUUGGAGAGCAUCUCUAAAGCAUCUACUCAAACCUACAGUGGAACCACCCCAGCUUGAGAAGAACCAUCCAAGGUGCUGGGUCUAUUGGAGAACCCCUUGGAGAGCAUAUCUAAAGCAUCUACUCAAACUUACAGUGGAACCACCCCAGCUUCAGAAGAACCAUCCAAGGUGCUGGAUCUAUUGGAGAACCCCUUGGAGAGCAUCUCUAAAGCAUCUACUCAAACCUACAGUGGAACCACCCCAGCUUGAGAAGAACCAUCCAAGGUGCUGGGUCUAUUGGAGAACCCCUUGGAAAGCAUUCUCUAAAGUUUCUACUCAAACCUACAGUGGAACCACCCCAGCUUGAGAAGAACCAUCCAAGGUGCCGGAUCUAUUGGGGAACCCCUUGGAGAGCAUCUCUAAAGCUUCUACUCAAACCUACAGUGGAACCACCCCAGCUUGAGAAGAACCAUCCAAGGUGCAGGAUCUAUUGGAGAACCCCUUGGAGAGCAUCUCUAAAGCUUCUAUUCAAACCUACAGUGGGUUCGCUGUCUCAUUCAAAUGGGAACUACCCCAGCUUGAGAAGAACCAUCCAAGGUGCCGGAUCUAUUGGGGAACCCCUUGGAGAGCAUCUCUAAAGCUUCUACUCAAGGUUCUACAAAGGUUCUACAGUGGAAAUAGGAACCACCAAAACUUGAGAAGAACCAUCCAAGGUGGUCGGUCUAUUGGAGAACCCCUUGGAGAGCAUCUCUAAAGCUUCUACUCAAACCUACAGUGGGUUCACUGUCCUGUUCAAAUGGGAGCAACCAGGUAGAAGAGGGCCAGGUAGGGAUGACGGGACUUUUAGUUUUACUUACAAAUACUAGAAGCAUCCGUCUUGUUGACGGGAAAGGAGAGGAGGAACGAAAAGCGUCUCACAGACCUGGUUGCAGGAGGAUGGCGGGUCCUUCUGCCCUCACUUCGGCUGGAAAGAAAACUCGGUGGACCCAUCAAAUCCAUUUCCUCCCCAUUGAUUUUCCUUAAGAGUAUUUUAGCUGUUAGUUUUGGGGAGAGGGGGUAAAAAGAAAGGGAAGUCGGGACCAGGCUUUAGGUUAAACCACAAACUGUCAAUCCAAGGUUGACAGUUCGAAGCCUGGGUCAGGGUGAGCUCCUGGCCUUUAGCCCAGCUUCCGCCAACCUAGUGGUUCGAAAGCAAAAAAUGUGUAUAGAUAAAUAGGUAUCACUUAAAACCGGGGGAGGUAUUUUAAGGAAUACCAGAAAAAUGCUAGUGAUUAGACCAAAAAAGGAAGACUUACGAAGAGGGAGAUAGAGCGAAUGAAUCAAGCCUCCGAGAUGCCGGAAGACGGGGAAAGCCUAUAUAUACCUCCUUCUAUGUACAACUGUCUGUAUAAAACGGCAUUGAAUGUUUGCUGUGUAUGUACGUUCUGUGAUCCGCUCUGAGUCCCCUUUGGGGUGAGACGGGCGGAAUAUAAAUACUGUAAAAAAGUAAAUAAUAAGUGUUGGCAGCGGAGGGGCAAAACAAUCCAUUUUGGGGGUGUACUCGGUCCCGUCAAACUCCGAUUCACAAGGAAAAGCCGACGUAGAAAAGGAGACUGCGGGGAGAACGGGAUCGUGGGGUGAGAGGAAAGCAAGAACGAAACGAACGGGAAAAAGAGAAAAGGUAAAACAGAAGGAAGGGGGGAUCGUUUGGAGUUUGUUUUUUUGUUGUCGUUGAAAUAAUACAACUGAAAUCAAUGAGUAAUAAUAAUAAUAAUAAUAAAGGAAGGGUGAAGUGACCAGUUGAAAGCACCAAACAGAAAACCAAAUGGUGUUAGAAAAAACAUUUGGACACCCGGCAAGCCGCUGCUCCGAAUGAGGUGAGAAGGCGGACAUUAUUGGCAUUUUGGCGAGACAGGAGUCCGUGUCCGUCUGGCUCCAAAAUGAGGAGGGGAGGGAGGAGGACAAAUGGGGAGCCAAAAUAAUGUGCAGCCUCAUUACAUUUGCCGCGAAGAUUAGAUUACACCUCUCUGUCCAUCGCGGUAGAGUCGAGCGGAUUGGGGAGGAAUAUUUUAUUCUGUUUCUCCCUUUCGCUUUUUGUCCUCUCCUUUUGUCACAGAACCGACUUCACCGCCAGCAUCCGAAUUUACGAAAUCAAGACAAUUAGACCCCCUCGGGUCGUUUUAACAGGACAAAUUGCCCCAAAACUAGCUAUUUUUUUCCCGUUUGGCAUAUACGCUCCUGUCUUUUUAAAUACAUAUAUAUAUAUAUAUAUAUAUAUUCUGCCUGAUGGAUCGUUUCAAAACUCCAAUUGGAUUCCCAGCGGCCCGGUGCCAACCUGGUAAUUUCAGACCCAGCGUUUCUUAAAAUAAAGAAUGUGACGAGGUGUAAUCUAAAAUUUUCCCUUCUAAAAACAAAAAAGAACAGCGAUGCAAAAAAAAGAAAAAGAAAAAAAAGGAAAAGGCAUAUAAGAAGACAUAAGCAGGCAGAAGUUUUCAAAACCACAAUAGCACAGUGUUCCUGCAGAGCACCCUUUUUUUUUUGUUUUUUUUGUCACAACGCGGUCCGACCCGGGUUCCCUGCGACUCUUGAGAAAUCCUUCUGCAGAAACAGAGUGUUAAUUCCGGUACGUUUUUCAAUAUUGUUUGCAAAAAAAAAAAAAAAGAUGUUCAAAAAUAGACCGAAACAGCAUUGGGUCUCCACUUAACCCUGGAACCAUAUUCUCUCUCUUUCUUUCUCUCUCUCUCUCUUUCGUUCUCUCUCUCAAUGGAAGGAGAUAUAGAGGAACCUUUUCCAAACUCGUUUUGCCCUUUGGUUCCCAAGUUCCAGAGCUCACUGCAGGAGAGAAAAGAGGAAGGUUGGCCGUUCAAGACCGGGUCGGGGUGAGCUCCUGCCAUCAGCCCAGCUUCUGCCUACCUAGCAGUUCGAAAACAACAAUACUCCGUCCAUAAAAGCAAGGCUGGCCAACAGAGAACUGCUUCUAGCUCUGGGCACCCAAUGCAAAGCCUUAUUGCAGAAGAUAGAGGCAAGGACGCAACUUCCAAGAUGGUGGCCGUUCCCAAGGAAGGAAGAGGCCGAAGCCUGGAGAAAAGGCAAGAUGCUGAGUUGACUGAAUGGAGGGACACAUUGAGUUGACUGAAUGCAAAUUAUCUCUGCAUUUCUGAACUCGUUGGAAUAUGCUGAGGACGAAAGCGGGAGGACGACACAGAAACUGGGACAUUUUAGUAGCAGCCAAACUGGGACUGUCCCUCUCAAACUGGGAUAGUCGGAGGCAACCCAGUCUGUUUUCUGGUGGCUUCCUCUCCGCCAUGAUUUGUUCCUCAAAUCAAUACGGCUCCAUAGUUUUGCGAAAAGGAAUGGAAAUCGUAGAAGAUGGUGGGAACCUCUCCGUCUUUCAGAGAAAGGCAGACAGAGAGAGAGAGAGAGAAAGGAGGAAGGAAGGAAGGCAAGAAGGAGGAAAGAGGAGGAAAGAGAAAGAGAAAGAGCGAGAGAGAGAGAGAAAAUAAUCAUGACAAAUGAGACAAGUCGCUGUCAAAAGUUGCACCGGAUUUCUCAAAUGAAUAAAGAAAACAAACAAAACUCCAAAUCACACAGCUUUAAUUUCCUGUAUUUCCCUUUCUUUCGGUCGAUAACCCAUUGCUAUCUGAAGAGAGGAUUUGCAAAUGGCUGGGCUCUAUAUAUACACUAGCUGUGCUCGGCCACGCGUUGCUGUGGCUUAUGGGAAUCAUUUGUUGACCAGGUGGAAUAGCCUUGCAGUCUCAAAGCCUGGCCGUUUUCUUCUUAUGCGAAUACUAUAUAUUGACCUCAGAUUCCAAAAAUCAGAUUUAUUUGGCUAUACACUGACGUCACGGGAGAAGUAAUGCUUUCAUGGAUGGCUAUUAAACAAGUUGUUUACUUUAAGUUCAGUUCAGGCAACAUUGUGUUAGAGUGAGAAGCUAAGCCUGACUUCUCUUGUUCAUGGUUCAAGUCAAGCUAUAAUUUUGGAUUUAAUAUAUCCUGGAAGUUUUCUAUGUUUCUGUUCAUGUAUUCCUGCUCAAGUCUUAUUAGUUAUAUCUUCCUGAAUCUGUGAUUUCCUGGCUGUUCUUGGACUGUCAUCUUUGGAAUGUUAUGAAACAUUUGGAUUAUUGUUUGGUUCUCACCUUUUACUAAACUUUUUUUGGAUUAUAUACCUUCCUUCCUGUAUGUAAUUUUCUAUUUGCUUUUUAUCUGUUUUUACAAUAAACUGUUUAUAUUCCUGGACUGGGUGUUUCCAGGCCUGGAGUACAACAGUAUUUGUUGUAAUAUUGUAUAACUAGCUUCGCCCGGCCACGCGUUGCUGUGGCUUAUGGGAAUCCUUUGUUGGCCAGGUGGAAUAGCAGUGAAUAGCCUUGCAGUUUCAAAGCCUGGCCGAUUUCUGGAGUAGCUGAAGCUUUUUGUUGUAUGAACGUAGAGGCAUGGAUUGUUGGUUGUGCUGCCAAGUUUAGUGUUUCUGGGAUGUGUAGUUUUGUUGUUUUGUCCUAGGCCGAAAUUUCAUUACCCUUUUAUAUAUAUAGAUAAUACAAUAUAUUGAUCUAGUACACUAUAGUAAUUUAAUGCCAGUAUUGUGCUAUGGUAAUAUAAUAUUGUAUGUAAAUUUAAUUUGUAAGUUGCUCUGAGUCCCCUUCGGGGUGAGAAGGGUGGGAUAUGAAUGUAGUUAGUAAAUAAAUAAAUAAAUAUUUGGCUAUACAUCAACCUCAGAUUCCUAAAAGCUGGAUUUGUGCGAUUGGUUCUCCAUCUCCUGAAAUGUAUUGGAAAGAAAUCCAAUUUAUGUGGCCAUUAAUCUACCUCCGAUUCCUAAAAUCAGAUUUAUUUGGCUAUAAAUCCUCCUCAAAUUCCUAAGAGCUGGAUCCAAAGGUCCAUACAUUUGGUUCUCUAUUCCUUGAAAGGUUUUGAAAAAAAAACUGAUAUAUUUGGCUAUAAAUCUAAUUCAGGUGCCUAACAGCUGGAUUCGAAGAUCUAUACCUUUGGUUCUCCAUCCCUUGAAGAAAAAUCUAAUAAUAUUACAAUAUAUUGAUAUAGUACAAUAUAGUAAUUUAUGGCCAGUACUAGCUGUGCCCAGCCACGCAUUGCUGUGGCGAAGUAUGGUGGUAUGGGAAAUAAAGUAUUGAGGAAUUGGUGGUAGUUAAGGUAAGGGGUACAUUAAGUCCAGUUGUGUCUGACUGCACACUGAAGUGGAUUAUAUGGCAGUGUGGAGUCAGGAUAAUUCAGUUCAAAGCAGAUAAUAUAAGAUUAUAAAUGGGUUAUAUAACUGUGUGGAAGGGCCUUCAGUCUACACUGCAAUAUAAUCCAGUUCAAAUCAGAUAAUCUGUAUUUUAUCAGCAGUGUGGAAGAGGCCUAAGUGAGGCUUAACUCUGCCUGUCCCCUGGGCUGCGUGGGUUGCUAGGAGACCAAGUGGGCGGAGCUUAGCCUUUGAACUGGCAGCAAUUGGAUAAAAACAAUUCUUCCUCUCCCUCUAAUUAGGACUUUAUUUUUCUUUUCUUUUUGUUGUAUGAACGUAGAGGCAUGGAUGAUGGGUUGUGCUGCCAAGUUGAGUGUUUCUGGGAUGUGUAGUUUUGUUGUUUUGUCCUAGGCCGAAAUUUCAUUACCCUUUUAUAUAUAUAAAUGGUACUACGCUAAUAAUGUAAUAUUGUAUGUAAAUUUAAUUUGUAAGCCGCUCUGAGUCCCCUUCGGGGUGAGAAGGGCGGGAUAUAAAUGUAAAUAAAUAAAUAAAUAAAAAUAAAAAUACCUUCUGGGCAUUUUGGAUAAAGACAUUUUUCACGAUAUUAAUAAAGAAAAAUUAAUCAUAUUUUUGUCAACGGCAGCAAGGAUGGUUUUUGCCAAGAUGUGGAAGUUAGAGAAGAUACCAGAUAGAGAAGACUGGUUAAAAAAGGUAUUGGAGAUAAAAGACAUGGACCAAUUAACAUACUAUUUGAAAAAAAAAAACACUGACAAGGGUAUAAAGAAGACGGACUGGUCGGUAGUGGAAGAGUAUAUGAAUUUAAAGUACAAUCCUUGAAGAAUCGAUAGAACUGAAGGAUUUUUUUUUUAAAAUAAACGGGAGAGAAGAUAAAAGAAGCAGAUCAAAAGAAACUCAUACAGGAACAAGGGCUGAACGGAAGUUCAAUUUGUUUUUGUUGUUUUUUUCUUAAUUUUUUUCCUGGUCUUUUACUCAUCUUUUUAAAACUUUCCUAUAAAUAUUGUUCCCCCUCUUUCAAUGUACAAGUAGUUUGAAAACCUUUAAUAAAAUCAUAAAAAAUAAUAAUAAUGUAAAUAAAUAAAUAAAUAAAUAAAUAAAGAUAAAAGAAGCAGAUCAAAAGAAACUCAUACAGAAACAAGGGCUGAACGGAAGUUCAAUUUGUUUAUUUUGGGGUUUUUUUUCUAAUUUUUUUUUCUGGUCUUUUACUCAUCUUUUUCAAACUUUCCUAUAAAUAUUGUUCCCCCUCUUUCGAUGUACAAGUAGUUUGAAAACCUUUAAUAAAAUUGUUUAAAAAAACAAAUAAUAAAAAUAAUGUAAAUAAAUAAGUAAAUAACUUAAAAAAAAUCAAAUUAUUUAGCCAUGAAUCUACCUCCGAUUCUUACAACCUC
This is a long non-coding RNA of Anolis carolinensis (green anole), 8905 nucleotides long. RefSeq lists it as uncharacterized. Lineage: Eukaryota; Metazoa; Chordata; Lepidosauria; Squamata; Anolidae. The transcript is spliced from 2 exons. The record is from RefSeq and is a predicted model, not a curated record.